AAUAUAAGAUUUAACCUGCCCGCUGAAUAAUUGAAUGGCCGCGGUAUUUUGACCGUGCAAAGGUAGCAUAAUAAUUAGUUUUUUGAUUGAAAGCUGGAAUGAAUGGUUGGACGAGAAAAUAACUGUCUCUGAUUAAAUUUUUAAUAAAACUUUAUUUUUAAGUUAAAAAGCUUAAAUUUUGUUAAAAGACGAGAAGACCCUAUAGAGUUUGAUAUUUUUUUAUUGGUAUAAUUUUAGGAAUUGAAUUUUUGCUUUUAUGGAAAUAUUUCAUUGGGGUGAUGAAAAGAUUUAUUAAACUCUUUUUUUAUUAAAACAUUUAUAUUUGAUUAUUUGAUCCAUUUUUUAUGAUUAUAAGAAUAAAUUACCUUAGGGAUAACAGCGUAAUCUUUUUAGAGAGUUCUUAUCGAAAUAAGGGAUUGCGACCUCGAUGUUGGAUUAAAGUUAAUUUUUGGUGUAGAAGCUAAAAAAUUGAGUCUGUUCGACUUUUAAAACUUUACAUGAUCUGAGUUUAAACCGGUGUGAGCCAGGUUGGUUUCUAUCUUUAUUUAGUUAAAAUAUUUUAGUACGAAAGGACCAA
Molecule: ribosomal RNA, 577 nt
Filed under: Hydora annectens
Lineage: Eukaryota; Metazoa; Arthropoda; Insecta; Coleoptera; Elmidae
Description: partial large subunit ribosomal RNA
Rfam family: Bacterial large subunit ribosomal RNA
Source: RNAcentral